This 73-nucleotide transfer RNA is filed under the name Urocitellus parryii (Arctic ground squirrel). Its description in RNAcentral is "Spermophilus parryii (Arctic ground squirrel) tRNA". It matches the Rfam family "tRNA". From Rfam's summary of the family: Transfer RNA (tRNA) molecules are approximately 80 nucleotides in length. The record is from Rfam by way of RNAcentral. Lineage: Eukaryota; Metazoa; Chordata; Mammalia; Rodentia; Sciuridae. RNAcentral also lists the same sequence under 1 other name.
GGGGAUAUAGCUCAGUUGGUAGAGUGCUUGUCUUGCAUGCACAAGACCCUGGGUUCAAUCCCCAGCACCACCC